Molecule: ribosomal RNA, 928 nt
Filed under: Sticta limbata
Lineage: Eukaryota; Fungi; Ascomycota; Lecanoromycetes; Peltigerales; Lobariaceae
Description: LSU rRNA
Rfam family: Eukaryotic large subunit ribosomal RNA
Source: RNAcentral
GUUUGACCUCGGAUCAGGUAGGGAUACCCGCUGAACUUAAGCAUAUCAAUAAGCGGAGGAAAAGAAACCAACAGGGAUUGCCUCAGUAACGGCGAGUGAAGCGGCAACAGCUCAAAUUUGAAAUCUGGCUCCUUCGGGGUCCGAGUUGUAAUUUGUAGAGGGUGUUUCGGGUGCGAUGCCGGUCUAAGUUCCUUGGAACAGGACGUCGUAGAGGGUGAGAAUCCCGUAUGCGACCGGCGAUCAAGCCCGUGCGAAGCCCCUUCGACGAGUCGAGUUGUUUGGGAAUGCAGCUCAAAAUGGGUGGUAAAUUUCAUCUAAAGCUAAAUACUGGCCAGAGACCGAUAGCGGACAAGUAGAGUGAUCGAAAGAUGAAAAGCACUUUGGAAAGAGAGUCAAACAGUACGUGAAAUUGUUGAAAGGGAAGCGCUUGCAAUCAGACCGGUCCGGAGGCGAUCAGCCGCUGCUCGUCAGCGGUGCACUCGCCUGCGAUCCGGCCAGCAUCGGUUUGGGCGGCGGGAUAAAAGUCCCGGGAAUGUAGCUUCCUCCGGGGAGUCUUAUAGCCCGGGUCGCAAUGCCGCCCGCCCGGACCGAGGACCGCGCUUCGGCUAGGAUGCUGGCGUAAUGGUUGCAAGCGACCCGUCUUGAAACACGGACCAAGGAGUCUAACAUCUAUGCGAGUGUUUGGGUGUCAAACCCAGGCGCGGAAUGAAAGUGAACGGAGGUGGGAACCCGUCAGACGGCGCACCAUCGACCGAUCCAGAUGUCUUCGGAUGGAUUUGAGUAUGAGCAUAGCUGUUGGGACCCGAAAGAUGGUGAACUAUGCCCGGAUAGGGUGAAGCCAGAGGAAACUCUGGUGGAGGCUCGCAGCGGUUCUGACGUGCAAAUCGAUCGUCAAAUCUAGGCAUAGGGGCGAAAGACCAAUCGAACC